UUCCGGUUGAUCCUGCCGGAGGUUACUGCUAUCCGAGGUUCGACUAAGCCCAUGCGAGUUCGAAUGUAGCAAUACAUGGCGAACUGCUCAGUAACACGUGGACAACCUGCCCUUAGGACGGGGGAUAAACCCCGGGAAACUGGGUAUAAUACCCGAUAGGUCUUGAUUGCUGGAAUGCAUCGAGAUUUAAAGCUCCGGCGCCUAAGGAUGGGUCUGCGGCCUAUCAGGUAGUAGUGGGUGUAGCGUACCUACUAGCCUACGACGGGUACGGGUUGUGAGAGCAAGAGCCCGGAGAUGGAUUCUGAGACACGAAUCCAGGCCCUACGGGGUGCAGCAGGCGCGAAAACUUUACAAUGCUGGCAACAGCGAUAAGGGAACCUCGAGUGCCAGGUUACAAAUCUGGCUGUCGAGAUGCCUAAAAAGCAUUUCAUAGCAAGGGCCGGGCAAGACCGGUGCCAGCCGCCGCGGUAACACCGGCGGCUCGAGUGGUAACCGUUAUUAUUGGGUCUAGAGGGUCUGUAGCCGGCCGGAUAAGUCUCUUGAGAAAUCUGGCAGCUUAACUGUCAGGCUUUCAGGAGAUACUGUCUGGCUCGAGGCCGGGAGAGGUGAGAGGUACUUCAGGGGUAGGGGUGAAAUCUUGUAAUCCUUGAAGGACCACCAGUGGCGAAGGCGUCUCACCAGAACGGACCUGACGGCAAGGGACGAAAGCUAGGGGCACGAACCGGAUUAGAUACCCGGGUAGUCCUAGCCGUAAACGAUACUCGCUAGGUGUCGGCCACGGUGCGACCGUUGUCGGUGCCGUAGGGAAGCCGUGAAGCGAGCCACCUGGGAAGUACGGCCGCAAGGCUGAAACUUAAAGGAAUUGGCGGGGGAGCACCACAACGGGUGGAGCUUGCGGUUUAAUUGGAUUCAACGCCGGG
RNAcentral lists this ribosomal RNA (920 nucleotides) under archaeon enrichment culture clone C1-47C-A. Its description in RNAcentral is "bacterial SSU rRNA". It matches the Rfam family "Archaeal small subunit ribosomal RNA", at positions 1 to 922 of the family's 1478-position model. The record is from RNAcentral.